GCGGCAACAGCUCAAAUUUGAAAUCUGGCCUCACGGUCCGAGUUGUAAUUUGUAGAGGAUGCUUCUGGCGACGUGCCUUCCGAGUUCCCUGGAACGGGACGCCAUAGAGGGUGAGAGCCCCGUCCGGUCGUGCACCUAGCCUCUGUGAAGCUCCUUCGACGAGUCGAGUAGUUUGGGAAUGCUGCUCUAAAUGGGAGGUAUACGUCUUCUAAAGCUAAAUACCGGCCAGAGACCGAUAGCGCACAAGUAGAGUGAUCGAAAGAUGAAAAGCACUUUGAAAAGAGGGUUAAAUAGUACGUGAAAUUGCUGAAAGGGAAGCGCUUAUGACCAGACUUGGGCUCGGUGAAUCAUCCGGCGUUCUCGCCGGUGCACUUUGCCGUCCCAGGCCAGCAUCAGUUCGCGCCGGGGGAUAAAGGUUUCGGGAAUGUAGCUCCCUCGGGAGUGUUAUAGCCCGUUGCGCAAUACCCUGGCGUGGACUGAGGUCCGCGCUCUGCAAGGAUGCUGGCGUAAUGGUCAUCAGUGACCCGUCUUGAAACACGGACCAAGGAGUCGUCUUCGUAUGCGAGUGUUCGGGUGUCAAACCCCUACGCGUAAUGAAAGUGAACGUAGGAGAGAGCUUCGGCGCAUCUCCGACCGAUCCUGAUGUUCUCGGAUGGAUUUGAGUAAGAGCAUACGGGGCCGGACCCGAAAGAAGGUGAACUAUGCCUGUAUAGGGUGAAGCCAGAGGAAACUCUGGUGGAGGCUCGCAGCGGUUCUGACGUGCAAAUCGAUCGUCAAAUAUGGGCAUGGGGGCGAAAGACUAAUCGAACCUUCUAGUAGCUGGUUUCCGCCGAAGUUUCCCUCAGGAUAGCAGUGUUGAUCUCAGUUUUAUGAGGUAAAGCGAAUGAUUAGGGACCCGGGGGCGCUUUUUAGCCUUCAUCCAUUCUCAAACUUUAAAUAUGUAAGAAGCCCUUGUUGCUUAGUUGAACGUGGGCAUUCGAAUGUAUCAGCACUAGUGGGCCAUUUUUGGUAAGCAGAACUGGCGAUGCGGGAUGAACCGAACGCGAGGUUAAGGUGCCAGAGUAGACGCUCAUCAGACACCACAAAAGGUGUUAGUACAUUUUGACAUUUGGACGGUGGCCAUGGAAGUCGGAAUCCGCUAAGGACUGUGUAACAACUCACCAAACGAAUGUACUAGCCCUGAAAAUGGAUGGCGCUCAAGCGUCUCACCCAUACCUCGCCCUCAGGGUAGAAACGAUGCCCUGAGGAGUAGGCGGACG
This 1259-nucleotide ribosomal RNA is filed under the name Acremonium alternatum. RNAcentral describes it as "partial large subunit ribosomal RNA". It matches the Rfam family "Eukaryotic large subunit ribosomal RNA", at positions 98 to 1391 of the family's 3401-position model. Lineage: Eukaryota; Fungi; Ascomycota; Sordariomycetes; Hypocreales; Bionectriaceae. The record is from RNAcentral.